This 506-nucleotide ribosomal RNA is filed under the name uncultured bacterium. Its description in RNAcentral is "partial 16S ribosomal RNA". It matches the Rfam family "Bacterial small subunit ribosomal RNA", at positions 29 to 523 of the family's 1533-position model. The record is from RNAcentral.
AGUGAACGCUGGCGGUAGGCCUAACACAUGCAAGUCGAACGGCAGCACAGGAGAGCUUGCUCUCUGGGUGGCGAGUGGCGGACGGGUGAGGAAUACAUCGGAAUCUACUCUGUCGUGGGGGAUAACGUAGGGAAACUUACGCUAAUACCGCAUACGACCUACGGGUGAAAGCAGGGGACCUUCGGGCCUUGCGCGAUUGAAUGAGCCGAUGUCGGAUUAGCUAGGUGGCGGGGUAAUGGCCCACCAAGGCGACGAUCCGUAGCUGGUCUGAGAGGAUGAUCAGCCACACUGGAACUGAGACACGGUCCAGACUCCUACGGGAGGCAGCAGUGGGGAAUAUUGGACAAUGGGCGCAAGCCUGAUCCAGCCAUACCGCGUGGGUGAAGAAGGCCUUCGGGUUGUAAAGCCCUUUUGUUGGGAAAGAAAUCCAGCUGGCUAAUACCCGGUUGGGAUGACGGUACCCAAAGAAUAAGCACCGGCUAACUUCGUGCCAGCCGCCGCGGUAA